CUGAUAUUCGCGGGGGGAAGGUGAGAACCUGAGACCAAGGUUCGCGUCGAGCAGCGCGAGACAACGAUGCGCAGCAUCGGCCCGGAGGGUGAGCCGCAAAGCGGCGAAUCAUCCUUCCCCCCACCC
RNAcentral lists this small RNA (126 nucleotides) under Sodalis sp. TME1. Its description in RNAcentral is "RtT sRNA". It matches the Rfam family "RtT RNA". Rfam says of the family: This family represents a bacterial cis-regulatory element known as RtT RNA. The exact function of RtT is unknown although it is thought that it may be involved in changing the cellular response in relation to amino acid starvation. The record is from RNAcentral. Lineage: Bacteria; Pseudomonadati; Pseudomonadota; Gammaproteobacteria; Enterobacterales; Bruguierivoracaceae.